Episyrphus balteatus (marmalade hoverfly) is the source of this 495-nucleotide long non-coding RNA. RefSeq lists it as uncharacterized. The transcript has 3 exons. The record is from RefSeq and is a predicted model, not a curated record. Lineage: Eukaryota; Metazoa; Arthropoda; Insecta; Diptera; Syrphidae.
GCCGCACUGCGAAAGUGCGAGAAUGUAACGUUAGAAAAUUGCGUCACUUUUUUGUGGUGGCUGUCAUGGUUCAUCGAUUUAUAAGACGUUAUCACGUCAAAAAAGUCAAAAAAAGUUUCACAAAAAUCUUUACAAUUUAAACUUUUCUCCAUCAAUCGGUAUCCGUAUCGGUAACGAACAGGAAGUCCACUUUUCAAACUUCAAAUUGAAAAUAAAAACUGACUGAAAGGAACCUGAAAACCCCUCCUUAUAAAUACGCCACUGCAGGAAUGACGGUCAUGUUCAUGUAUGUACCAAUAAAAAUUUGGUCCCAAUUGCUAAUUGGUGUUGUUAUUAGUUGCCAAAGAUGCCAAAAGCGGUCCGAUUCUACAUGGCAUAGCUCCAAAGCAUAAGAAAAAACAAAACCAAUCUGAAUUCUUAAAUACCUAACCUACCUUAUUGCUAUUAAAUUAGUUUUAAUUGGUCUUUUUUUAUUUCGUUUCUCUCGUCUGGGAU